This 628-nucleotide long non-coding RNA is filed under the name Felis catus (domestic cat). RNAcentral's name for it is "lncRNA (ENSFCAG00000049389.1)". Lineage: Eukaryota; Metazoa; Chordata; Mammalia; Carnivora; Felidae. The record is from RNAcentral.
AAUGGCUUGUUUCUGCCGUCCCAAAUGACAGCAUGUUGGUGCCCGUCUCUCAUCUGCGACAGUGCCUAGGUUUUAUUUUACAGAAACUGAGACAGUGGCAUCUCGCCUAAUCUUUUUUAUCUGUUAUUUGAGAGAAUCUCACAUUAGCAACUUGCAUUUUGCAACAUUCUGAAAGAUGGGUAUCUUGAAAUUACCUAGGUAACUACCCGCAAGCACAAUUCUGACAUCGUUGGGCCUGAAUUCUGGAUGCAGAGGCUGGGGGCUGGUCAGCGAGGAACAAUGGUCAUUUGUGAAGGAGGGGACACUUGAGAGCUCGGUGUCUCUAUAACAGGAGGCAAAACCAUGUUCACCAAUAAGGUUUCAACCCUUUAUUUAGUGAAAUGAAGUGUUAGGGAACACAGAGGGGGUUUUUAAGAGCUUACACGUCCAUCAGAACCAGAGCCACGGUGUGGGAAGAGAACCGCAAGACGUUUCCUCAAAUACCUGUGGCUUUGUGACCCUAUCACCGAGGCAUACGGAAGGCACUGAGUAUUUUUCCGAAUGCGUGAAUGACACUUACGUAGUAGCCGAGUGCUUGGACAUCUGCCUUCAUCUGAAGCCAGGACUGCCUGAGAAUAAAUUGAGAUAA